Molecule: ribosomal RNA, 226 nt
Filed under: uncultured bacterium
Lineage: Bacteria
Description: partial 16S ribosomal RNA
Rfam family: Bacterial small subunit ribosomal RNA
Source: RNAcentral
CGUAGGUAAUCUACCCUCUGGCGGGGGACAACAUUCCGAAAGGAAUGCUAAUACCGCAUAAGACCACGCUCACUGCGGUGAAAGCGGUUAAAGGUGCCUCAAAGCACCACCAGAGGAUGAGCCUGCGUCCCAUCAGCUAGUUGGUGAGGUAACGGCUUACCAAGGCGAAGACGGGUAGCUGGUCUGAGAGGAUGAUCAGCCACACUGGCACUGGAACACGGGCCAG